CCUACGGGGGGCAGCAGUGAGGAAUAUUGGUCAAUGGACGAGAGUCUGAACCAGCCAAGUAGCGUGAAGGAUGACUGCCCUAUGGGUUGUAAACUUCUUUUAUAUGGGAAUAAAAUGUUCCACGUGUGGGAUUUUGUAUGUACCAUAUGAAUAAGGAUCGGCUAACUCCGUGCCAGCAGCCGCGGUAAUACGGAGGAUCCGAGCGUUAUCCGGAUUUAUUGGGUUUAAAGGGAGCGAAGGUGGAUUGUUAAGUCAGUUGUGAAAGUUUGCGGCUCAACCGUAAAAUUGCAGUUGAAACUGGCAGUCUUGAGUACAGUAGAGGUGGGCGGAAUUCGUGGUGUAGCGGUGAAAUGCUUAGAUAGCACGAAGAACUCCGAUUGCGAAGGCAGUUCACUGGACUGCAACUGACACUGAGGCUCGAAAGUGUGGGUAUCAAACAGGAUUAGAUACCCGAGUAGUC
RNAcentral lists this ribosomal RNA (460 nucleotides) under uncultured bacterium. RNAcentral's name for it is "partial 16S ribosomal RNA". It matches the Rfam family "Bacterial small subunit ribosomal RNA", at positions 338 to 795 of the family's 1533-position model. The record is from RNAcentral.